RNAcentral lists this long non-coding RNA (273 nucleotides) under Polistes fuscatus (common paper wasp). RNAcentral describes it as "uncharacterized LOC122520246". The record is from RNAcentral. Lineage: Eukaryota; Metazoa; Arthropoda; Insecta; Hymenoptera; Vespidae.
UUGAACUUUGAUGGAAAUUGUUUGUUUGUUAAAACUAGUCUACUAUUUUUCAUUAUUUAUUUAAUUUAUUCAGAAAUGACUAUUUUAUUACGUAAAGUUCGAAAUGCAUGCAAGUGUGGAUGCGACGAGCAUUGGAUUUACCAUGUUAAAAAAAGAAUUUCAUGAAGAUUUAAAUUUGGAUUAAAUGACAAACUUAAUAAAUAUAAUUACAAUACAACAUUAUUUAUAAUAAUAACAUGAGCACAUGAAGGGCACAUGAAAAGCACAUGAAAA